GACGAACGCUGGCGGCGUGCCAUAAUACAUGCAAGUCGAACGAACUCUGGUAUUGAUUGGUGCUUGCAUCAUGAUUUACAUUUGAGUGAGUGGCGAACUGGUGAGUAACACGUGGGAAACCUGCCCAGAAGCGGGGGAUAACACCUGGAAACAGAUGCUAAUACCGCAUAACAACUUGGACCGCAUGGUCCGAGUUUGAAAGAUGGCUUCGGCUAUCACUUUUGGAUGGUCCCGCGGCGUAUUAGCUAGAUGGUGGGGUAACGGCUCACCAUGGCAAUGAUACGUAGCCGACCUGAGAGGGUAAUCGGCCACAUUGGGACUGAGACACGGCCCAAACUCCUACGGGAGGCAGCAGUAGGGAAUCUUCCACAAUGGACGAAAGUCUGAUGGAGCAACGCCGCGUGAGUGAAGAAGGGUUUCGGCUCGUAAAACUCUGUUGUUAAAGAAGAACAUAUCUGAGAGUAACUGUUCAGGUAUUGACGGUAUUUAACCAGAAAGCCACGGCUAACUACGUGCCAGCAGCCGCGGUAAUACGUAGGUGGCAAGCGUUGUCCGGAUUUAUUGGGCGUAAAGCGAGCGCAGGCGGUUUUUUAAGUCUGAUGUGAAAGCCUUCGGCUCAACCGAAGAAGUGCAUCGGAAACUGGGAAACUUGAGUGCAGAAGAGGACAGUGGAACUCCAUGUGUAGCGGUGAAAUGCGUAGAUAUAUGGAAGAACACCAGUGGCGAAGGCGGCUGUCUGGUCUGUAACUGACGCUGAGGCUCGAAAGUAUGGGUAGCAAACAGGAUUAGAUACCCUGGUAGUCCAUACCGUAAACGAUGAAUGCUAAGUGUUGGAGGGUUUCCGCCCUUCAGUGCUGCAGCUAACGCAUUAAGCAUUCCGCCUGGGGAGUACGGCCGCAAGGCUGAAACUCAAAGGAAUUGACGGGGGCCCGCACAAGCGGUGGAGCAUGUGGUUUAAUUCGAAGCUACGCGAAGAACCUUACCAGGUCUUGACAUACUAUGCAAAUCUAAGAGAUUAGACGUUCCCUUCGGGGACAUGGAUACAGGUGGUGCAUGGUUGUCGUCAGCUCGUGUCGUGAGAUGUUGGGUUAAGUCCCGCAACGAGCGCAACCCUUAUUAUCAGUUGCCAGCAUUAAGUUGGGCACUCUGGUGAGACUGCCGGUGACAAACCGGAGGAAGGUGGGGAUGACGUCAAAUCAUCAUGCCCCUUAUGACCUGGGCUACACACGUGCUACAAUGGAUGGUACAACGAGUUGCGAACUCGCGAGAGUAAGCUAAUCUCUUAAAGCCAUUCUCAGUUCGGAUUGUAGGCUGCAACUCGCCUACAUGAAGUCGGAAUCGCUAGUAAUCGCGGAUCAGCAUGCCGCGGUGAAUACGUUCCCGGGCCUUGUACACACCGCCCGUCACACCAUGAGAGUUUGUAACACCCAAAGUCGGUGGGGUAACCUUUUAGGAACCAGCCGCCUAAGGUGGGACAGAUGAUUAGGGUG
This 1490-nucleotide ribosomal RNA is filed under the name Lactiplantibacillus plantarum subsp. plantarum. RNAcentral's name for it is "bacterial SSU rRNA". It matches the Rfam family "Bacterial small subunit ribosomal RNA". Lineage: Bacteria; Bacillati; Bacillota; Bacilli; Lactobacillales; Lactobacillaceae. The record is from RNAcentral.